GGAGAAGUAAUGGAAGAAAAUGGAUUGAAGCCAAAUUACAAAGGCCCUGGUUGUUAUACUGAGGACUUCAGCCUUUAUUCUGGAUCAGUGGACUCCAGGUCUCACGGAAUGCUGAAUUUUUCGAGCACUCACCACAAGGUCUCAAGCCCCCGAGGACUACCAGGCAAAUUUCCAACAAAGCUGGGUUCACAACUGAGAAUUCCCAGUGUAUGGCACCACAAGGAAAAUAGCUGCAUUUGGAUAGUGACAUGGAGUGACUUAGUGGGAAUCCACCCCAGCUGUACCAUCACACCACUGCAUGUUCAGAAUCUCCCCUGCGGCAAUUGCCCAGCAGAUCUCUACCCUGUACGAGGACAGAACAUGCCUAUGGGCCAUUUACACUGACAAAGCUCUCUCUCAUCUCCUUAUAACCAUUGCUGCUGCUUUCUGGCCUCCAGCAGUUUGUUUCAGAACCAGAACAGGCCUUAGGGAUCAGCUGGUCAUUUGACAUGUAACGGAGAAGAUGAGAGAAGACCAAGGACACACCGCUUAUGGGAGUCAAGAUCAGGACUCUUUCAUGAGGCCGUAUUACGUAGAAAUCAUGCAUCGGACUUACUUGAGUAUUGGUAUUUAGCACCAACACCAAAGUUCAAGAAGAGGAAACAGUACAGCAGUUGCAGUUUCAUAGUCUGAAAAGUACCUGUGUAUUGUUUUCUUUUAAAUCCUUGUGGUAGAGUUGCCUUAUAAUUCUCUUGUUGGAAGAAAGAACAAAGACACUUUAGAAGCAAAGCUGGAUCAGGUUUUUAUUACAUAUUUUAUUAGAUGUUUGGGACAAGAUGACCAAAUUUAAAUAACAUGCUAUAGAAUAUUAAGAUUCAAUAGCAGUUUCAUAUUCCAGAAUACAAAGAGUUAAACUUCUACGUCAAGACCUUCAAAGGUCAUGGUUAAGAGGCAAACAGAAGAGUGCAGAGGUCCCAUCACGACCUGUCUGCUGAAGGCCUCCAUGCCCCUUCGGAUGGGAGCUUUGGGUCAGUUGUACAGUCACAUGGCUCACCCAUUGGUUCGUGUUUUUUUCCAGAAAUAGAAUCAAUAGAGAACAGACAAACCCACAGUUGCCAGUUUGUACAGUCUUGUGGUUUCUGUCAGGGGCUACAGGCUCGAGCAGGUCUACCAGAUAAUGAAGGCAAACUAUUUCAGUUCCUGUGGGUCCAGAGCGCCUCAGCAGAGUUCUGGUUUCAAACAAAUGAAUAACAAAUUAAAAGGUACAGUAAAAUAAGGGGGUGGUUAAAAUAUAUUAACUAAAAUCAAUGGAGGAGAAACGUAGUUAAAAAGCCUGCAUUCUCAGCAGUAGUCUGUGAUGUAUUUUGUUAAUCUCUUAAAAUUUAUGUUAAAAGCCUUUUAACAGAAAGUCAAUAUAUUUGGGUGGUUGAGCGAGUAUAUCAUCCUCUACCGGCAGUUGCAUUAAAUACGAGGCAGGCUCCACUGUUUGUAGGAAAUGAACAGGGGUCCAUCCAACGGAAGUCCCACCUCAAGGAGACCAGACAUUUUUCCCAAAACAGCCUGUGGAGCCAAGCUCACUAUUAGCCCCCCCCCCUUUGCUUAGGUUCCCCACUGACGUCAACGAGAGUCCUGGAAAUGAAGCGGGAUCAGAAUACCAGAAGCAUAGCCUAAUAAUAGAGCCAAAAUGGAGAGCAGAUGGAAAAUAAAACUUCUCAAUAAAGUGUGACCUAAUGUUAUAAAUUUGUUCAAGGAAAGAAAACAACAACAGUGAAGCAAAAAGGCCUGUAAGCAGACUUACAGGGGUGAAAGUUCUGGAACAUAGCUGACUAGAAAAACACCUAGAUACUUAGAAACCUUCCAGAAAAAGA
Molecule: long non-coding RNA, 1847 nt
Filed under: Equus caballus (horse)
Lineage: Eukaryota; Metazoa; Chordata; Mammalia; Perissodactyla; Equidae
Description: lncRNA (ENSECAG00000039255.3)
Source: RNAcentral